GCUCUCCUCGCUGGGCCACUGCGGGCCCCCUGCCGGACUCCAUUCCACUUACCCCAAGGGAGGAGACAGAAGGGACUUCGCCUACUUGCAACAACGUGAAAUAAAAACCAACCCAGACCAGACUGGGGCGCUUUUUCUGACGGGAGAAAAUACCCUUUUCCGUGGAGAUAUAUGUUAUGAAGGACUAAGCAGUCUGGGGAUAGGCUGUGCUGGGAAGGGCCUGGGCCCCUUCCAGUGCUGGGUGCAGGUAUAGGCAUCCCUCCCAGACACCCAAAGGUCAAGCAGCAACGACUUACUUCCAAGGCGGCGUCAGAGCUUCCCUAGGCACAUUGCUGAAAUGACAUUUCGUGCCUAAGCCUUCUGCGCAUGCAUUACGCGCCCACAUAGGAUUUACGAUUGUAUACGCACACGUGUGUAUACCACAACCAGGGGACACAGCAGUGGUAGCACGGAAUAAAUAAUCCAUAAAUUUCGCAUCCAUUUAAUCACUUCUUCCAAAAACCUAUUGUCUAUUUUAGCGUCACCUUCUUUGUCAUAUUGAUAAUAAAUGUUUUAAUUUAUUGAUAAAUCACUGAGUGUCAGUCAUUGUAUUUGGUCACUUAUGGUACAUGAGUUCAUUUAAUUUCCAUGGCAACUCUACCGUGGUCAUUAUUAAGCCGGUAUAAAAGGUGAGGAAACCAAAGCCCAAAGUAUCAUGAGUGACUUUUCCAAAGACAAAUCCAGUGGUCUCUAAUUACAAAGCCUAUGAUACAACAACGUCUACAUCACUUUAGGUGUGGUCUAAGAGAUUAUAGAUUAAUUCAUAGAAAUUAUUCCCAUUCAAAGAAAGUUUAGUUUUAAUAUAUUCACUAAGUUACGUUCUGAAAAAAAGUUCAGAAAAAAGAUUUCAUCCUCUACUUUAGGUUGGUCUUCUGCAACUGACAUGAGCACGGUCCAAUUCAAAAGCAGUAUCAACACUGAAUACUUAUGGUUACAAUUUAUUUUUUAAUGAGUGGGGAAUUAUCUACAAUGCUUAAGAGGCUCUAGAAAAGGUGGUGUUGUAAAUUUAGAAUAAUAAAGGCAGUCGUUGCUGCUCUCAUCACUUACUGGGUGUUCUUUCCUGCAGAUUUAUUUUGGAGGGUGUAGGCAUUGCCAGGCAUAAUGUUUCCUUUUCUGGUUCUCAAGGUAGAAAGGGUUCUGGCAGUGGGGUUGGCACAAAGGGGAUUUGGAGCAUGGUUGAGAGCACAGUCUGGCCUAACGAGGAACGCCAGUUAAUAUACACUGGAGAGAAAAAUAUCAAUGGACAGAUUUAAUUAAUUUUGUAAGUUUAUUUUCUCCAUUUCACAUGUGAGAAAACUAAGGGCUCAGAAUUUUUAGAAGCUUGCUACUAAUUGGUAGACCUGAGUUUCAAGCCAGCCUUUAUUUAAG
RNAcentral lists this long non-coding RNA (1407 nucleotides) under Macaca mulatta (Rhesus monkey). Its description in RNAcentral is "lncRNA (ENSMMUG00000054573.1)". The record is from RNAcentral. Lineage: Eukaryota; Metazoa; Chordata; Mammalia; Primates; Cercopithecidae.